This 352-nucleotide unclassified non-coding RNA is filed under the name Hevea brasiliensis (rubber tree). The record is from RNAcentral. Lineage: Eukaryota; Viridiplantae; Streptophyta; Magnoliopsida; Malpighiales; Euphorbiaceae.
CAAACUACUACUCUGCUCUUCUCUCUCCCUCGACCGACAAACUCUCUUCUCCUCUAUACCAAACAACCUUUGUUGCUCCCAAAAGUGAAGUAUACACUACCUUAUUGCAGAGUUUUCUUUAAAUCUCUCUCACCCAUUUCACUUUCUUGCACCCUAAAAGACAAGUUUUGACAAAAACCAUUACUCUCUCUUCUCUCCACGCCUCUCCCUGCUUAAAUUCCUCUCUCUUUGUGGUCCAACUUCCAUAUAUAUUACAGAUCUUUUGUUUUUUUCGUUUCAUUUGAGGGACAAGAGAAGAGACAAAGAAAUUAAGAUCAAGACUCCAAGACAUGGAUUGGCAUGGCAACUUAAG